CUCCAGAUGUUGCUGAACUACAACUCUCAUAAGCUCUGGUCAUUGGUCCUGUUUGCUGGGGCUGACAGGAGUUGUAUUUCAGCAACAUCUUGAG
This is a non-coding RNA of Podarcis lilfordi (Lilford's wall lizard), 94 nucleotides long. Lineage: Eukaryota; Metazoa; Chordata; Lepidosauria; Squamata; Lacertidae. The record is from the annotation of a GenBank genome assembly.